Molecule: RNA transcript, 1928 nt
Organism: Papaver somniferum (opium poppy)
Lineage: Eukaryota; Viridiplantae; Streptophyta; Magnoliopsida; Ranunculales; Papaveraceae
Exons: 9
Source: RefSeq, a predicted model, not a curated record
AAUGAUUCGUUUAAUUUUUAACAGAUGGGGAUUAUUUAAAAAUCGCGAGGACAGGUACCAAGAGUGAGGGGAAGGUCCUGAAAAGCACAUGCUGAUUGGGUUGGCUUUACCAUUGCUUUUAACAAGACUAUGGUCUUUCUAAUUGUAAAGAAUAGUCAGGAAUCAACUAAAUUAGCAAGAGGUGGUUGAAAAGGUGCAUCUUUGGAAGACUACCUGUGAAAACAAUUGAAGUUCUUGGGUAUUUCAUCAGUUAACAUCAAUGAGAAGACAAGGAGAAUAUAAUGAGAACUUCAAAUAAGUUCUUAUUACAUUACAAUGAACAUCAUGGAGAACACAACGAGGUAAAAAUACUGGAAAUGGUUGUGCUGCUCGCCUGGGUAUGAUCCACAAUGAAAUAACCGAUAUCCUUUACUUUACUUAUACCCCAAUCUGAUUUCAAAAGUAAGACUUUAUGCUGGUAUGAUGCUUGUGAUUGAAAGCAUAUAAGUUUUUUUGAUCUUUACCGCUAUUUCACUAAAACAUGACGGAAAACCUCCAAAUUGUUAGAAAAAGAAAAAUUCUUUUUAUAGUUUCUAUUUUGUAGAAAAUACGAUAAUUGAUCUACACUGCUAAAUCUUGUUAUCGAAUACAAUUUGUUGUGAUUUAAUCUCAUAGAACUAUUGCAUGGAGUUAACUGUCACUGAAAGCACAUAAGUUUCUUUGAUAUCUAUCUGUGUGUGUUGACCUUAAUUCUGUAUAAUUCUAAUAGUGCAACAACACAACAAAUGUUAUUUCUUUAUCUGUAACUGUGAUCUGGCUUGUAAAUAAACUCAUAUAGAUUCUUAUAGAAUAGCAUAAUCCUAGAGCUCUUAUACUCUAGCUUCCCUACCUAUCAUUAUUUUUGUUACCCGAGGAACAAAUUUGUUUAAACAUGUAAGUCUUCUACUCUCCUUGUAAAUUUACUUCCCUGUAUAUUAUGUGUUGGGAUUUGAUUAACUAAGUUAUUUCCUAGGAGUUUCUCUUAGGAAGCUUAUUAAGACUAAUAAUCUUAUUGUUUAUUAUCUAAUUCAGAUUGGUUGCUUACACUGCUUAUUAUCCUGGUGGGAAGGCACAACAGAUAACUUUAUGAUUAGUGGGGGAAAAUAUUUGUCAACUUAUAUAACAACGGUGCAGGUGGUGGAACAUAUUGCGCAUUUGAAGCUCUAAGCUUGAUGGGAUUUAUUGAAGAUGACGUUUUGUCCAAAGGGACAACAUCUUUUGUUAUUGAUAUGAAAUCGUUGUUGGAAUGAGGCAAACAAUUGGUGGUGAUUUACAAGGCUGAGAGAACAAGGCGACUGACACCUGUUAUGCAUUUUGGAUUGGUGGCAUACUUAGAGUCUUGGGGGUUCAGAACUUCCAUGACAGUGCAGUCGUAUGAGAAAUUAUGCUUACUUGUGAAUCCUAGUUCAAAAACUUCAGAAAUCAUUAUGCUUUGGAGUUUUCCGAUCGUGAUAUACAGGGGACAACAUAUGUUGUGCUUGCAGGGAUUUUUUACGCCUCGACUUGAGCUGACUAUGUAUUUUUAUUUCUUGGUUCUAAAGAGCAAACUCGUAGAUAAAGAAACCUUGAUGGUUUGUAUUUGACUUUUGAUUUAUAAGAAAGCUCCAAUUCAAGCGACUCGAAAGAAAUUUGGCUUUGUAAACUCCAGGUACUUGAAUAACAACCACUUUAUGGAACACAGAUCGCAUUGGAUGUGCAUAGUUUGUUAGAAUUGUUUUUGGGUAGAUUUCAUAAUGAAUAGAAGGAUUCCUUUGUAUUUGUGUUUCGUAGUGAAUGUAUGGAUGGCAGAAUCCGGAUAGUUUGCAAAGGAUAUGUAUAGUUUGCUUAUUGAAAGUAAGAAAAUUCAAUUGUGUUUCAGAUUUAUUUGUAUUUCAGGCCUGUAAACUGGAAGUCCAGGUACAGGAUAGUUU